AUUGAACGCUGGCGGCAUGCCUUACACAUGCAAGUCGAACGGUAACGGGCCUUCGGGUGCCGACGAGUGGCGCACGGGUGAGUAAUACAUCGGAACGUACCCGAUCGUGGGGGAUAACGCGGCGAAAGCUUUGCUAAUACCGCAUACGAUCUGCGGAUGAAAGCGGGGGACCGCAAAGCCUUGCUUGGCCGCGCCCGCCUAUGGCGGCCGAUGUCGGAUUAGGUAGUUGGUGGGGUAAAGCCCUACCAAGGCGACGAUCCGUAGCUGGUCUGAGAGGACGACCAGCCACACUGGGACUGAGACACGGCCCAGACUCCUACGGGAGGCAGCAGUGGGGAAUUUUGGACAAUGGGCGCAAGCCUGAUCCAGCCAUGCCGCGUGCAGGAAGAAGGCCUUCGGGUUGUAAACCGCUUUUGGACGGAACGAAAAGCCGUCUGUUAAUACAGGAGGGUCAUGACGGUACCGUAAGAAUAAGCACCGGCUAACUACGUG
Molecule: ribosomal RNA, 492 nt
Filed under: uncultured bacterium
Lineage: Bacteria
Description: partial 16S ribosomal RNA
Rfam family: Bacterial small subunit ribosomal RNA
Source: RNAcentral